UGGUUGAUAUUCCAGUACCACUACCAUCGUUAUUAUCGAUGGCGUGACGCAGGAGGAUAGUGUGUGCUAGCUAUUGGAUGCUAGUCUAAGCGUUUAGGCAGUGAGAGUAGGCAAAUCCGCUCUCAUAAUGCUGAGGCGUGAUGGGGAAGGUUCUACGGAACCGAAGUACAUGAUUCCACGCUGCCAAGAAAAGCGUCUAGAGAGAGAAGUAGUGCCCGUACCGCAAACCGACACAGGUAGGUGAGGAGAGAAUCCUAAGGCCGGCGGAAGAAUUACAGUUAAGGAACUCGGCAAAUUGACCCCGUAAGUUCGCGAGAAGGGGUGCCUACGAGAGUAGGCCGCAGAGAAUAGGCCCAAGCAACUGUUUAGCAAAAACACAGGUCUCUGCUAAAGCGUAAGCUGAUGUAUAGGGGCUGACGCCUGCCCGGUGCUGGAAGGUUAAGGGGAACACUUAGCGCAAGCGAAGGUGUGAACUUAAGCCCCAGUAAACGGCGGCCGUAACUAUAACGGUCCUAAGGUAGCGAAAUUCCUUGUCAGGUAAGUUCUGACCCGCACGAAUGGCGUAAUGACUUGGGCACUGUCUCAACUGUAAAUCCGGCGAAGUUGUAGUGCGAGUGAAGAUGCUCGCUACCCGCGAUUGGACGGAAAGACCCCGUAGAGCUUUACUGUAGCUUAGCAUUGAGUUUUGGUAUUGUCUGUACAGGAUAGGUGGGAGACUAGGAAACCAGGGCGUCAGCCUUGGUGGAGUCAACCUUGGGAUACCACCCUGACAGUACUGAAAUUCUAACUGGCGGCCAUGAAUCUGGUCACAGGACAUUGUUAGGUGGGCAGUUUGACUGGGGCGGUCGCCUCCUAAAAAGUAACGGAGGCGCCCAAAGGUUCCCUCAGAACGGUCGGAAAUCGUUCGAAGAGUGCAAAGGCAGAAGGGAGCCUGACUGCGACACCCACAAGUGGAGCAGGGACGAAAGUCGGGCUUAGUGAUCCGGUGGUACCUCGUGGGAGGGCCAUCGCUCAACGGAUAAAAGCUACCUCGGGGAUAACAGGCUGAUCUCCCCCAAGAGUCCACAUCGACGGGGAGGUUUGGCACCUCGAUGUCGGCUCGUCGCAUCCUGGGGCUGAAGUAGGUCCCAAGGGUUGGGCUGUUCGCCCAUUAAAGCGGCACGCGAGCUGGGUUCAGAACGUCGUGAGACAGUUCGGUCCCUAUCCGUCGCGGGCGUAGGAAAUUUGAGAGGAGCUGUCCUUAGUACGAGAGGACCGGGAUGGACUGACCUCUGGUGUACCAGUUGUUCCGCCAGGAGCACAGCUGGGUAGCUAAGUCGGGAAUGGAUAAACGCUGAAAGCAUCUAAGCGUGAAGCCAACCUCAAGAUGAGAUUUCCCAUAGCAUAAGCUAGUAAGAUCCCUUGAAGAACACAAGGUUGAUAGGUCGGGGGUGUAAGCAUGGUAACAUGUUCAGCUGACCGAUACUAAUAGAUCGAGGGCUUGACCAA
RNAcentral lists this ribosomal RNA (1488 nucleotides) under Clostridium perfringens NCTC 8239. Its description in RNAcentral is "bacterial LSU rRNA". It matches the Rfam family "Bacterial large subunit ribosomal RNA", at positions 1427 to 2925 of the family's 2925-position model. The record is from RNAcentral. Lineage: Bacteria; Bacillati; Bacillota; Clostridia; Eubacteriales; Clostridiaceae.